Molecule: signal recognition particle RNA, 279 nt
Filed under: Candidatus Woesearchaeota archaeon
Lineage: Archaea; Nanobdellati; Candidatus Woesearchaeota
Description: signal recognition particle sRNA
Rfam family: Archaeal signal recognition particle RNA
Source: RNAcentral
UUGUAGGCUAGGCUGGCGGGCUAACCCUCCGCUGUUACUGCAAACGGGAUACAAUAGCAGGGUCGAAGUCCUUUAGGCGGUAGUUUCGUACAUUGGAAGUCUUGGCUUCAUUCCGUCGAUCUCCUGUCCCAAUUGGUCGGCAUCUUUGGGAACCGGGUCAGGCUGGGAACAGAGCAGCCCUAACUGAUCAUACUGGCGCUUUUGGGGUCGCGGGAAGGAGGAACAGCCAGGGUUAAGCUUUCGAAGUGCGGUUCUAUCCACUUUGGGACGUGCCUACUU